This 69-nucleotide transfer RNA is filed under the name Ictidomys tridecemlineatus (thirteen-lined ground squirrel). Its description in RNAcentral is "Spermophilus tridecemlineatus (thirteen-lined ground squirrel) tRNA". It matches the Rfam family "tRNA". From Rfam's summary of the family: Transfer RNA (tRNA) molecules are approximately 80 nucleotides in length. Lineage: Eukaryota; Metazoa; Chordata; Mammalia; Rodentia; Sciuridae. The record is from Rfam by way of RNAcentral.
GGAGUUGUGGCUCAGCGGUAGAGCGCUCACCUAGCACAUGUGAGGCCCUGAGUUGGAUCCUCAGCACCA